AUGGGAACCCAUUUGAUAUCUGACACAGAUCCCGGAGGAGGAUUUGACUCCUUGCCAGAGUUGAAGGAAGCUGGCCUUCAAUCUCCAACCAGGCUGAGAGCACCAUUUGAGCUCAAGAGUGAAUUGUAUUGGAAAAGCAGCAGAAUCUCCGAAAUGAAUUGUCAUGAAAUGAGGCUUCAAAUGAAAGUGCACGGAGAGCCUGGGCCUAAUUGGCAGAGGAGUUAGUCAGGUAAGAGACCAAUUCUAAAUGUCCCAUUGCAGAACUUUUGUAACAUGUGCCCGUCUUCUCUCAUAUCCUGCCCCCAAACACCUCCUUCUACCCUUACACAGACUUCGGAAGAUGACACUUAUUUGGCAAAGAUAACACUGAGCUAUUUCAAAUUUAAAAAUCUAUAAUCCAUAAGCUUGGCAAGAAAAUGUCUCUCUGAACCAUGGUAUACUUUGAACUGUUCCCGAUGGUAGGGUGAAUAAUGUUACCCCAAAUAUGUCCACACCCUAAUCCCUAAUCUGUAUAUAUUACCUUAUCUGCAAAAGGGACUUUUUCAGAUGUGAUUAAGGAACUUUAUAUGGGAAGAGCAUCCUGGAAUAUCCAGGAGGGACAAUGUAAUCAGAAGGUUCCUAAUGGGAGAGAUGAGAGAGAGGUUAGAUGCAGAGAUGAUGUGAUGACAGAGGUAGAGACUGGAGUGAUAGCUUUGAAGAUGGAGGAAGGGGCCAAAGGCCAGAGAAUACACACGUUUACUAGAAGCUGAAAAGGCUAAGUAAGUGGAUUUUUUUUCUUAGAGCUCCCAGAAGAAACCAACUCCUACUAUACCAUGACUUUUACCUAGUGAGAUCCAUUGUCAACAUCUGACUUCCAGAAUUAUAAGAUGAUAAAUUUGUUUUAAGCAAGCUGCUCCCCCAAAUUCUCCUAGAUGUGCUGUAGAGCUGGAAACUUCCAUGGAAUUAUUGCUUUGAAUGGUAUCACUGAAGGACACAGUUGUUUAAAGUGUCCACUAGAAUGUAAAGGGAAAAUGUGUUAACAUUGAACCUGUUGUGCCUUGAUCUGAUUGGCUGGCAGAGUGUGGCAGGAGAUUCAUCUAGCAAGUGAUGUCUGCAAUGAGAGGGUGCCAAAGCAGGAGGGAGGGAGGGAGGGAGGGAGAGAGAGAGAGAGAGAGAGAAAGAGGGAGAGAAUCUUCCAUCUGCUGGUUCACUCCCCAAACAGCUGGGGCUGGUCCAGGCCAAAGCCAGGAGCCAGGAGCCAGGUCUCCCACAUGGGUGCAAGUACUUAGGCCAUCUUCUGCUGCUUUCCCAGGCCCAUUAUGAGAGAGCUGGAUCAGAAGUAUAGCAACUGGGACUCAAAUUGGCACCCGUUAUAGGAUACUGGCACUGCAGGCAGAGACUUAAUCUUCUAUACCACAGUGUCGGCCCUUCUUUAUCAGUUUUUGCAAAUCCUUAAUUUUAAUCUACUCUAUAUUUACAGGCUUAACUCACCACUAAUCAUAAUAUUCAACAAGUAAAAAAUAUCAAGACCACAGUUCUACUGGCAUAUAAACAAGGGCUGAAAAUGACAAUCAUAUCCCCAAAUGACCAUUUCAUUCCUAUAUAUUUUUGGUAUUCUAUAUUAACUGCUACAUAUCAGAGAAAACAUAUGAUAUUUGUCUUUUUGAGACUGGCUUAUAUCACUAGGCAUAAUGAUUUCUAGUUGCAUCUAUUUUGUUGCUAAAGACAAUAGUUCAUUCUUUUUGAUGGCCAAGUAGUAUUUUAUAGUGUAUAUGUACCACAUUUUCUCUAUCCAGUCAUCAGUUAAUGGGCAUCUGGGUUGAUUCCAUAUCUUAGCUAUUUUUGAAUUGAGCUACAAUAAACAUGGAGGCAUAAAUAAUUCUUCCA
Molecule: long non-coding RNA, 1866 nt
Organism: Oryctolagus cuniculus (rabbit)
Lineage: Eukaryota; Metazoa; Chordata; Mammalia; Lagomorpha; Leporidae
Source: Ensembl